RNAcentral lists this small RNA (1348 nucleotides) under Arabidopsis thaliana (thale cress). Its description in RNAcentral is "ATSL033500". The record is from RNAcentral. Lineage: Eukaryota; Viridiplantae; Streptophyta; Magnoliopsida; Brassicales; Brassicaceae.
AUCAUCUAAAUCUAAUCGUUUACUUUCUUGCAUUUUAAUUUACAAUCUGAAAACCAAGCAAACAACUUCUUCGCUUUAGCUAAGAACGAGUCUCGAAAAUCCUUAGAGUAUCUUUGGUCCUUGUGGAUCAACCUCGAAUAUUCUACUUAACGGUUAGAUAUUUCGGGUAAUUACUCGAGCAAUCAAGUUGGCGCCGUUGCCGGGGACCAAUUGCGUUACCUAAGGAUUUAGGAUUAGUUUCUAGUCUAAAGCAUUUUUAUUUACUGUUACUGAUAUUCAUUUCCGUGUUUUCUUUGGCGUUUUCAGGUGUAUGACCCGUAGCAAAGGCUCAUCACAUCUAGUAAACUACCACGAGGAUAUCAGAAGGUUUGAAAGAGAGAACAAGAAAAUAAACAGUUAGCGGUUCAGAGAGAAGUUGAGAUGGCUAAUGUUGUUGAUGAUGAUGGAAUCCAAUUUGAAGGAGAACAUCAUGGAGUGUUUCAGGAUCCACCACCUCCUGAUGGAAAUCUUCCUGCUGAUGGUGGAAACGCUGCGAACGCAGCUGCUGCCAACGCUGCCCGUGUAGCUGCUGCUAAUGCUGCUCGUGCAGCUGCGCUGAAUGCUAGGCCUGCGCCUGCUCGACAAACUCUGAGAGAUCAUGAUGCUCCCAAUAUUGAAUUUUUCAGAGACAGGAACCAACAGCUCCCUAUCAACAUGAAUGAUUUUGAGAUCAAGACCGGGUUGUUGGCCCUUGUGAAGCAGAAUCAGUUUCACGGUCAUUCCUCUGAGAAUCCUGUCUAUCACUUGGAUAAUGUUGAAGAUAUUUGUGGGACAACGAGAAUGAAUGGAGUGCCAGAUGACAUUAUCAAAUGCAGACUGUUUAUAUUCUCUUUGGCAGACAAAGCCCACCGCUGGUUGAAGUCACUAGAUCUUGUAAAUCUGAGAAGUUGGGAAGACUACAAAGCUGCAUUUUUGGGACAGUAUUUCACGCAGUCAAGGAUAUCUAUUCUAAGGAAUAAGAUCAGUAGCUUCCAACAGGGAGUCACAGAGUCAUUCCAUGAAGCUUGGGAGAGGUUUAAGGAUUACUACAGGGAGUGUCCUCAUCAUGGGUUUCCACGGGCUACAUUGAUCAGCACUUUCUAUCGGGGAGUUAACAAGGCCUACAAGAUGGCAUUAGACACUGCUAGGAAUGGGGACUAAAUGACCAAGACUGAAAUUGAGGCUACAGAGCUAAUUGAGAACUUUGCAGCUAGCAACAACAACCACAAUGUUGACUAUGACAGGUCUAAUAGAGGUGGAGGAGGAGAGUCGAAACAGUUUGCUGAGCUGUCAGCUAAGGUUGAGCAACUUCUGAGGAGAGACCAAAAAG